Molecule: ribosomal RNA, 253 nt
Filed under: uncultured bacterium
Lineage: Bacteria
Description: partial 16S ribosomal RNA
Rfam family: Bacterial small subunit ribosomal RNA
Source: RNAcentral
UACGAAGGGGGCUAGCGUUGCUCGGAAUCACUGGGCGUAAAGCGCACGUAGGCGGCUUCUCAAGUCGGGGGUGAAAUCCUGGAGCUCAACUCCAGAACUGCCUUUGAUACUGAGGGGCUCGAGUCCGGGAGAGGUGAGUGGAACUGCGAGUGUAGAGGUGAAAUUCGUAGAUAUUCGCAAGAACACCAGUGGCGAAGGCGGCUCACUGGCCCGGUACUGACGCUGAGGUGCGAAAGCGUGGGGAGCAAACAGG